CUCGCGGUCACACUAGCGUUUGUUCUUGGAGAUUACCAGCGGAUUAGCGUGCUUGCUUGAACACACACCAACAAGCUCAUGCUAGAAUGUAAGCAAGCACGUCGCGGUCACACUCAAAAAAGCAACGUUUGCUUGCUUGCUGUUGUUGUUGACAGAUAAAAAUUAAAAACUUAUCUAAUAAUCUAAAGUCCAUUAUGUUAAAGUCAACGAAUAUAGCCUACAUUAUUCUUGUGAUUUCGUAACUAUAAGUUUAGAACAUAUAGAGAAUGUGUCUUUGUAGUUUAUAGUUCAGGCGCAAAUGCUUGCCCGAUCGUUAUUCAUGCUUGAAUGCUUCCUGUUUUUGGGUAAAUAAAAUAAAUAAAUAAUACAUAUAUAAUAUGAUGAGUUGUAAA
Paramuricea clavata is the source of this 392-nucleotide non-coding RNA. Lineage: Eukaryota; Metazoa; Cnidaria; Anthozoa; Malacalcyonacea; Plexauridae. The record is from the annotation of a GenBank genome assembly.